UGGGGAAUCUUGGACAAUGGGGGCAACCCUGAUCCAGCCAUGCCGCGUGAGUGAUGAAGGCCUUAGGGUCGUAAAGCUCUUUCGCCUGUGAAGAUAAUGACGGUAGCAGGUAAAGAAACCCCGGCUAACUCCGUGCCAGCAGCCGCGGUAAUACGGAGGGGGUUAGCGUUGUUCGGAAUUACUGGGCGUAAAGCGCACGUAGGCGGAUCGGAAAGUUGGGGGUGAAAUCCCGGGGGCUCAACCCCGGAACUGCCUCCAAAACUAUCGGUCUAGAGUUCGAGAGAGGUGAGUGGAAUUCCGAGUGUAGAGGUGAAAUUCGUAGAUAUUCGGAGGAACACCAGUGGCGAAGGCGGCUCACUGGCUCGAUACUGACGCUGAGGUGCGAAAGUGUGGGGAGCAAACAGGAUUAGAUACCCUGGUAGUCCACACCGUAAACGAUGAAUGCCAGUCGUCGGAUAGCAUGCUAUUCGGUGACACACCUAACGGAUUAAGCAUUCCGCCUGGGGAGUACGGUCGCAAGAUUAAAACUCAAAGGAAUU
This 539-nucleotide ribosomal RNA is filed under the name uncultured bacterium. RNAcentral describes it as "bacterial SSU rRNA". It matches the Rfam family "Bacterial small subunit ribosomal RNA", at positions 355 to 911 of the family's 1533-position model. The record is from RNAcentral.